Non-coding RNA from Cinara cedri, 229 nucleotides. The record is from the annotation of a GenBank genome assembly. Lineage: Eukaryota; Metazoa; Arthropoda; Insecta; Hemiptera; Aphididae.
AUUAAAACGCGCCAUAUAAACGCCACAGAUUGACGUUUGUACGUCGUCGCAGUGCCUGCAGCUGUCAUUAUUUUCCCUUAUCGAACUUUUAAAACUGAAAAGUACACUUUGCCCGAUAUUCCAAAUUUCCCGAACACAUAUACUCAUAUAUACUCGUAUACUUUUACUGUCUCAGUAUAACAAAUAAAUUGCGGCGUUUUGGGUUAAAAUUAAAAUAACAAAAAUGUUA